RNAcentral lists this unclassified non-coding RNA (271 nucleotides) under Hevea brasiliensis (rubber tree). Lineage: Eukaryota; Viridiplantae; Streptophyta; Magnoliopsida; Malpighiales; Euphorbiaceae. The record is from RNAcentral.
CCUAAAUUUAUUUAUAUCAACAAAAAAAAAUUUUUGAUAUAUUAAAAUUUUAUAGCACAAUAAAUAGAGAAAAUUUUAUAUACUUUUUAAUAUAAAAGUUAAUACAAUAGAAAAAUAAUUAAGUAAUUCAAGUUAACACUAACAAAAUAAAUUACUGGCUUUCAAAAAAAAAAAACAAAUUACUGACUCAAGACAUAAAUUGAUCAAGUGGAGAAACUUUUAUCUUCCCUCCACUGGUCAUGGGUUCAAAAUUCAGUAUAAGCAGUUCCCA